This is a long non-coding RNA of Bubalus bubalis (water buffalo), 887 nucleotides long. RefSeq lists it as uncharacterized. NCBI's taxonomy places the organism in Eukaryota, Metazoa, Chordata, Mammalia, Artiodactyla, Bovidae. The record is from RefSeq and is a predicted model, not a curated record. The transcript has 4 exons.
UAGAUGGCUAUAUUGAAUAAGGAACAUUUAGCCUGAUGUACUAAAUUUGUCAGAGAAAUCCAAUUAAAAAAAAAAAAUGGUCAGAGCAAGAUAUGGCCAUUAGACAGAUUUACUGUAGAAAGUUAAUGGACCAUACUCAUAUGUCAAUUUGUUUUCAGAGCCACUGUGCUGAUAUGCAGCUUGAAUUUGUGCUGUCAGACCUACCUUCAGAGGCUGUGGAGAACACCAAGUUCUCUGGAGCAUACAAACCAAAUUGUGCUGCGUAUUUCCUUCAGUUCCUUACAGGAGGAAGGGUCUCCCUGGUGGAAGCAAUGGGUCGAUGGCAGAGGAAGAGAGUGAAGUGAACCAGCCCCUCCUUAUCGGCAUGUGUCCUGGCCCAGGGAGGUGAAACAAGCAUACUCUGUGCUUAGUAUUUUCACGGCUUCAUUAACCGUGCAGAUCAUCGGAAAAGCAGGAAAGAGGCCAACAAUCCACUGCAGCACAUUUGCCUGGGACGUCGUUUGACAGACACUCCUGAGCAUCUCAGAAAAAAAUGGCAUUCCCAAACUUCUUAAAACAAAGUGUUUCCCAGACACAGCCUUAUACAGACAGAAAUUUAAAAUGAAAAGGAGUGAAGCCCAUGGGUUUGGAGGUUGGAAGAUGAGGCCUGGCCCGUCUCGGCUACCAGUGGUCUGCGUGGGAUCUGGGGCGGUAUCACAUCACUUGUCUUGAUCUGAAAAAGGAGGGAGGUGGACCAGAGGAUUCUGCAAUGUCCCCUCCCCUUGGAGGAAUCUGUACAGUGUGACACUGUGUUCAUGGAGACCACUGUGACGUGCAACUGCACUUUCUAAUAGUGUGGUAACACACACAAGCAGCUGCACAAUUACUUAUGCACUCAUACCUAGGGG